RNAcentral lists this ribosomal RNA (387 nucleotides) under Choanoflagellata sp. RNAcentral describes it as "partial small subunit ribosomal RNA". It matches the Rfam family "Eukaryotic small subunit ribosomal RNA", at positions 582 to 975 of the family's 1831-position model. The record is from RNAcentral. Lineage: Eukaryota; Choanoflagellata.
AUUCCAGCUCCAAUAGCGUAUAUUAAAGUUGUUGCAGUUAAAAAGCUCGUAGUUGGACUUCUGAUGUGGGACUGCGCCCCGGUAUUUUGCCGUUGGGUGCGGGCUCGCGUCUUCCUCUCGUAGUUGGAUGGUGCACUUAACUGGGUGCCUUCUGAAUAUGGGACCUUUACUUUGAAAAAAUUAGAGUGUUCAAAGCAGGCAAUCGCUUGAAUACAUUAGCAUGGAAUAAUAGAAUAGGACUUUGGUUCUAUUUUGUUGGUUUCUAGGACCGAAGUAAUGAUUAAUAGGGACAGUUGGGGGCAUUAGUAUUUAAUUGUCAGAGGUGAAAUUCUUGGAUUUAUGAAAGACUAACUACUGCGAAAGCAUUUGCCAAGGAUGUUUUCAUCA